This is a long non-coding RNA of Ananas comosus (pineapple), 400 nucleotides long. RefSeq lists it as uncharacterized. The record is from RefSeq and is a predicted model, not a curated record. Lineage: Eukaryota; Viridiplantae; Streptophyta; Magnoliopsida; Poales; Bromeliaceae. The transcript has 5 exons.
CAGAGAAGGGUUUUCUUACAUCUUCUUCUCUCUCUCUAAGAAUUUUCUCUCUCUACAAAAAAGCCGCCGAUUCGAGUCGAUUUCGCGCUCCGGUCGACGCUCGCUGAUUGGACGACUCAAAGGAAGCUUGCAGCACGUGGGGAGGAGGAUUUUUCUCUGAGUUCUCUGUGAGCAGGUUUUUAAGCAAGUUGAACUAAAUUAGUGACCGUGGGGACUGGUUUAGAAGGUAUUCUAACCUGAGCGAGAGUGUGAUCAAGCUUCGGAUUGUCUUGAGUUGACUUAGAAGAGCUUUUGGGAGCUUUUGGAGGCUUAAUUUGAGCAGGAUUGGGAUCUUGUUGAGCUGAUUAUUGGGACAUCUUGUGACUGAUUUGGGCUUAGUACGAGAGCCCGCUUCAGGAGA